AAUAAAAUGCCUGAUUAAAGGAUUAUCUUGAUAGGAUAAAUUAUAUAAUUUAAAAUUAUUUUUAUUA
This 67-nucleotide transfer RNA is filed under the name Trichopria drosophilae. Its description in RNAcentral is "tRNA-Ile". Lineage: Eukaryota; Metazoa; Arthropoda; Insecta; Hymenoptera; Diapriidae. The record is from RNAcentral.